Saccostrea cuccullata (small rock oyster) is the source of this 861-nucleotide long non-coding RNA. RefSeq lists it as uncharacterized. Lineage: Eukaryota; Metazoa; Mollusca; Bivalvia; Ostreida; Ostreidae. The transcript is spliced from 3 exons. The record is from RefSeq and is a predicted model, not a curated record.
CUAAGGGCAAUAAUCCGUGCCUUAUUUCCGGUUAUAGGAACGAUAACUCCUACACUUCCGGUUUCGGCGUCAUCAUAAUAAUUUGUCGUGAUCGAUACCUCUCGAUUGUUUUUUAAGCUCCAGUUACGUACAAGAAAAUAGUGCCAAUCCACCACUCUUUAUAGUUCUAAAGUUAUAAGCAGCUGUACUGCAUACUGUAUAAAAACAGUAAUUAACCUACAUGUUGAUGCAGAAGCAGAAGAAGAAUCAUCAACAAUUGACAAUUUAUCUACAUGAGGAAAAGGGGAACUAUCUACAGGGGGACAAAUGGAGCAUGAUGAUGAACCUGAUGGAUGAUCUACACAAACAGACUUAUUUACAAGGGGACAAAAUGAGGAUGAAGAUGGACAGUCAGAGGAUGUGAUGUCUGUCGUCUCUGUCGAAGGUCUUGACUUGUCUUUGUCCGCGCUGUGAUAAGAGUGCUCUUGUCGGAUGAAACUGUUCUUUUGGGACUGUGAUGGGACGUUAAGCUUUCUCUUUAAUAUUUUCUUUGGUCUGCCAGGUUUUACAAAACAAAUGUCACAACUGUCUGAAUGAGGCAAAAAUUCAUGCAAAACAGGUAAAUUAACAAUAAUGUCAUCUUCAGCUUGGCUGUGUCUUGUCAGUCGUAGUCUACACGCGGUGCAAAUUCUAGAAGGAUGAAUAUUGUUAGAGUCACUGUCAAUGUCAAUGUUGUAAAGGGAGGUAAUGGCAGUCUUGAAGUUUUCUUUGGGAUGGGAUUUUGAAUUCACAGGGAUUUUAACACCACAGAGUCUGCACAUACACUGUAACUUUAUUUCAUGCUCCAUUUCUGUAGAAGAAAUGAAAUAAAAUUUCAUAUAA